AACGAACGCUGGCGGCGUGCCUAAUACAUGCAAGUCGAGCGAGAAAGCCUCUUCGGAGGUGAGUAAAGCGGCGCACGGGUGAGUAACACGUGGGCAACCUACCCUUGAGUCUGGGAUAACCCGGGGAAACUCGGGCUAAUACCAGAUACGGCUGCGGGGUCUUCGGAUCCUGUGGAGAAAGAUGGCCUCUUCUUGAAAGCUAUCUCUCGAGGAUGGGCCCGCGUCCUAUUAGCUAGNGGUGAGGUAACGGCUCACCAAGGCAAAGAUGGGUAGCUGGUCUGAGAGGAUGGCCAGCCACACUGGAACUGAGACACGGUCCAGACUCCUACGGGAGGCAGCAGUAGGGAAUUUUGGGCAAUGGGCGAAAGCCUGACCCAGCAACGCCGCGUGU
This 391-nucleotide ribosomal RNA is filed under the name uncultured bacterium. RNAcentral describes it as "bacterial SSU rRNA". It matches the Rfam family "Bacterial small subunit ribosomal RNA", at positions 29 to 404 of the family's 1533-position model. The record is from RNAcentral.